RNAcentral lists this ribosomal RNA (325 nucleotides) under uncultured eukaryote. RNAcentral's name for it is "partial 18S ribosomal RNA". It matches the Rfam family "Eukaryotic small subunit ribosomal RNA", at positions 1470 to 1796 of the family's 1831-position model. The record is from RNAcentral.
CCCUUAGAUGUUCUGGGCCGCACACGCGCUACACUGAAGGAGGCAGCGUGUACUCCUGGAUCGAAAGAUUUGGGUAACCCGCGAAUCUCCUUCGUGCUAGGGAUUGAGGUUUGCAAUUAUCCUUCAUGAACGAGGAAUUCCCAGUAAGUGCAAGUCAUAAGCUUGCGCUGACUACGUCCCUGCCCUUUGUACACACCGCCCGUCGCUACUACCGAUUGAAUGGUCCGGUGAAGCGCUCGGACCGCGGCCUCUUGACGGUUUUCCGUCGAUUGGCUGUGGGAAGUUCGUUAAACCUUAUCAUUUAGAGGAAGGAGAAGUCGUAACA